This 253-nucleotide ribosomal RNA is filed under the name uncultured bacterium. RNAcentral describes it as "partial 16S ribosomal RNA". It matches the Rfam family "Bacterial small subunit ribosomal RNA", at positions 524 to 776 of the family's 1533-position model. The record is from RNAcentral.
UACGUAGGGGGCAAGCGUUGUCCGGAAUUAUUGGGCGUAAAGCGCGUGUAGGCGGCAGGGCACGUCGGAUGUGAAAUCCCGUGGCUCAACCACGGAAGUGCACCCGAAACUGCCCAGCUAGAGUCUCGGAGAGGAAGGUGGAAUGCUUGGUGUAGAGGUGAAAUUCGUAGAUAUCAAGCGGAACACCGGUGGCGAAGGCGGCCUUCUGGACGAUGACUGACGCUGAGACGCGAAAGCGUGGGGAGCAAACAGG